This 497-nucleotide ribosomal RNA is filed under the name uncultured bacterium. RNAcentral describes it as "partial 16S ribosomal RNA". It matches the Rfam family "Bacterial small subunit ribosomal RNA", at positions 28 to 507 of the family's 1533-position model. The record is from RNAcentral.
GACGAACGCUGGCGGCGUGCCUAAUACAUGCAAGUAGAACGCUGAAGAGAGGAGCUUGCUCUUCUUGGAUGAGUUGCGAACGGGUGAGUAACGCGUAGGUAACCUGCCUUGUAGCGGGGGAUAACUAUUGGAAACGAUAGCUAAUACCGCAUAACAAUGGAUGACACAUGUCAUUUAUUUGAAAGGGGCAAUUGUUCCACUACAAGAUGGACCUGCGUUGUAUUAGCUAGUAGGUGAGGUAAUGGCUCACCUAGGCGACGAUACAUAGCCGACCUGAGAGGGUGAUCGGCCACACUGGGACUGAGACACGGCCCAGACUCCUACGGGAGGCAGCAGUAGGGAAUCUUCAGCAAUGGGGGCAACCCUGACCGAGCAACGCCGCGUGAGUGAAGAAGGUUUUCGGAUCGUAAAGCUCUGUUGUAAGUCAAGAACGGGUGUGAGAGUGGAAAGUUCACACUGUGACGGUAGCUUACCAGAAAGGGACGGCUAACUACGUG